Molecule: long non-coding RNA, 636 nt
Organism: Crotalus tigris (Tiger rattlesnake)
Lineage: Eukaryota; Metazoa; Chordata; Lepidosauria; Squamata; Viperidae
Exons: 3
Source: RefSeq, a predicted model, not a curated record
UGGGUUCUGCUAUUUUCAUGGCACGUCGGUGAUUUUAUUUUCUUUCUGAUCUUAAUGUCUUUAAAAUCGUAGAUUAAAGGCUUAAUAUCCUCCGUAGUCAGAAAAUAGAAUUUUCGAGGAAUGCGAAGGUGUACUGUUUUCGGGUUGUAAAGGGGAAGGGGGCGGAAGUCAGCACGAGUGGGUUGUAAACAGUUUUCUUUCGUGUGUUUCAGUGUUUUACAGGGGCCUUGGGAUCAAAUGGUAGCACGACGUCAGGCGGAAUGUAUUUCUAUUGUGCUUUAUUUUCCUUCCAUUUUAGUUUUCUUGGAGGGUUUAAAAAGACAAAACAAAAACAACCUAAUGAUGACUUGUGGUUUGUAAACAAACAGCUGGGUCUAAGUCCUACAGUGAAUGUUAUGCAAAGAAGACAAAAAAGACCACCUAAACUGACAAUAACUUUGGCAUCAAUACAUGAGGAAUAGUCACAAAAGAACGAAACCUGUAUCUUUCAACACAAUGUCUCUCUAAUAUACUGGAUACAGAUGGGCUUUUCUUGAUCAGAAAGCAGGCAUGUCUUGAUGGGGCAGCAGAGCUGUUCUACAAAGAUAGUGCCCAGUGUUCAAGUCUGUCCAGAUCCUUCUGUAUCUUAAGCCUGUC